CCAUAAGUACUACACCACCAAGUCUCCAGAUUAUUACACCACAACUUCGCUGCCCCGAGCAACUUAACCGAAUCCCUGAAGUAUUAUUCUUCCCCGAACUACGCCAUCAAAGGGUCGAGUACUACACCGAGGCCCCUAAUUACUACACCACUACAUAUCAUGGUCGUAUAAAAGGAGAGAAAAGGCGAUAGAUAUCAGUCGAAUGGUUAUCACCGACAUGGCAACAACUGCAGUGCAGUAGUCGUCACCAACUGCAUUCUUCGUCGAACCACCAGUUUUGCAAUCAUGGUAAACUAUUUUGUCGUGCUGCUGUUGGGUGUCGUUUCGUUGAUGGCUGAGUCGACCACUGGUGUACUGAUGUCUCCUGGGUAUAGCCUAUGGUGGAUAUCAAAGCACGACGCCGCCGUCUUACUAUGCAACAACAACAUACGACACGACCAGUUACUACACCGAGGCCCCCAAGUACUACACCACCAAGGAACCAGAGUGUUACACAACUACAAAUGCCGCGCCAGCUUAUUACACCGAGGCUCCCAAGUACUACUCGCUCCAAGCUAGGCCUACUACACCGAGGUUCCAGCUUAUUACACCACUAAAACAGUCGAAUACUACACAGAAGUAAUCAUUGUAAUCUAUGGCGUGCUGCUGUUGGGUGUUGAAUCGUUGAUGGCUGGAUUGACCACUGGUGAGCCGAUGUCUCCUGGGUAUGGCGGGUAUGAAACCACAACGCCGGCGUCUGGCUGCACGACAACAACAUACGCAACGACCAGUUACUACACUGAGGCCUCCAAGUACUACACCACCAAUGUUCCAGAUUAUUAUACAAAAACAUAAGCUGUCCCGAGUUACUACAAAGAAGUCCUGAAGUAUUAUUCUUCCCCGAGCUCCACCACCAAGUCACUGGAGUAUUACAUAACUACGUAUGCAGCGCCAGCUUACUACACCGAGACUUCCAAGUACUACUCUGCUCUCAGCUACUGCGCCGAGGCUCCAGCUUAUCACACCACCAACGGUCGAAAAGUACACAGAAGUGCCAAAGUACUACUCUGCCCCGAGCUACACAACCCUAAAUGAGGCGGCCAAGUAUUACGUAGCCUCAACUUUCUACACAACUGCUGCCCCUUCGUAUUACGCUGAACCGAAAUACUGCACUGAAGUCCCAGUUUACUACACCACAACCUACGCUACACUCUGCUACUACACCGAAGCUCUGAAGUAGUACACUACCAAGGGACCUGAGUACUAUGCCACUACAUACGAUGCUCCGACCUACUACACCGAAGCUCCGAAGUGUUACUCUGCUUCCAGUUACUACACCGUUAAGGCAUCUGAAUGUUACACCUCGACCUACGCUUCUCCAACUUACUACAGGAAGGUUCCUAAGUAUUAGAGCCGAAUAGGUUUUAUUUAUUUGUGUAUAGAUUUUCUGUCAUAUCAUAAUAGUUACUUGUCACUGGUAAUUGUUAUUGAUCUUAAAUGAGAAAAUACACUUUUUAAAGCGGGUAA
This is a long non-coding RNA of Daphnia pulicaria, 1506 nucleotides long. RefSeq lists it as uncharacterized. The transcript has 4 exons. The record is from RefSeq and is a predicted model, not a curated record. Lineage: Eukaryota; Metazoa; Arthropoda; Branchiopoda; Diplostraca; Daphniidae.